GCGCAACCAGGCCGGAGGAGUGGAGAGAAUGAGAAUGCGGUGGAUUCCAGGUACUGUGGAUGGAUCUUUCUCCUCCCUCCGUCCAGCAGCAGCUGAUCUUUGAUUCUUCCAGUGAUGAACAAGAAUCCAUGGGAGAUGACUCCAGUGUCGCCGGUGCGAAGGAAGAAAGCCCUGGAUCCAUGGAUUUUGGCCUGGAAUGUCUGCGAUGACAAUGCUGGAUCGUUCACAUAGCCGCUUCCCAUGCUUGGAGAGGAAAUCCACACCUCGCCUUCCUCUCCAUCAGGUACUUCUUUGCUUGUCCCUGGAUCCACGACUCUGAGAUUCAUCUCUUGCAGAUCAUCGUGCGCGCUUGAGAUCUUUCCGCUGGGAAGAAGGUCUUGGUACACUGGAAAGUCACCGGAUUUCUUCCAUGCCGUGCACACAAACGUGGAGUUCUCGGCCAGCCCGUAAGAAGGUGCUAUGGAAUCCUUUCUCAGUCCGAAUCUAGAGAAGCUCUUGAGGAAACUAUUCACGCUUGCUGCCAGGAUGGGCUCGUUGACGAGAAUCAAGCUCUCGAGGUGUGACAAAUCCAGUUGCAAAUGCCGAGCUUUGGGAUCUGGAAAUGAGUUAUCCUGGACGAGUUUGGAUUCUACCAGAGGGAGAGCAAAUGCGGGCACCACGGUACAGGUAGCUUUGAAUUUGGAGAGCAUCUCCAGCCAUAGCCAUGGCCUUUUAGAGAAGGAAAAUGGCGAGCUAAGGAAGCUUGUUGCCCCGCAGGUGAUGGUGAGAAGGAUGAACAUGAGGCCACAGUCGUGAUACAGUGGAAGCCACGAGACGAUGAUGCUGGACGGCUGGAGGUCGUAAGCUCUUCUAGCCGCUCGAGCGUUGUGCGCUGCCGCUCCAGCG
RNAcentral lists this long non-coding RNA (885 nucleotides) under Selaginella moellendorffii. RNAcentral describes it as "long non-coding RNA (SMOE_LNC001311)". Lineage: Eukaryota; Viridiplantae; Streptophyta; Lycopodiopsida; Selaginellales; Selaginellaceae. The record is from RNAcentral.